AACGCGUGAGGAACCUGCCUCAAAGAGGGGGACAACAGUUGGAAACGACUGCUAAUACCGCAUAAGCCCACAGGUCGGCAUCGACCAGAGGGAAAAGGAGCAAUCCGCUUUGAGAUGGCCUCGCGUCCGAUUAGCUAGUUGGUGAGGUAAUGGCCCACCAAGGCAACGAUCGGUAGCCGGACUGAGAGGUUGAACGGCCACAUUGGGACUGAGACACGGCCCAGACUCCUACGGGAGGCAGCAGUGGGGAAUAUUGCACAAUGGGGGAAACCCUGAUGCAGCGACGCCGCGUGGAGGAAGAAGGUCUUCGGAUUGUAGACUCCUGUUGUUGAGGAAGAUAAUGACGGUACUCAACAAGGAAGUGACGGCUAACUACGUGCCAGCAGCCGCGGUAAAACGUAGGUCACAAGCGUUGUCCGGAAUUACUGGGUGUAAAGGGAGCGCAGGCGGGAAGACAAGUUGGAAGUGAAAUCUAUGGGCUCAACCCAUAAACUGCUUUCAAAACUGUUUUUCUUGAGUAGUGCAGAGGUAGGCGGAAUUCCCGGUGUAGCGGUGGAAUGCGUAGAUAUCGGGAGGAACACCAGUGGCGAAGGCGGCCUACUGGGCACCAACUGACGCUGAGGCUCGAAAGUGUGGGUAGCAAACAGGAUUAGAUACCCUGGUAGUCCACACCGUAAACGAUGAUUACUAGGUGUUGGAGGAUUGAC
This 707-nucleotide ribosomal RNA is filed under the name uncultured bacterium. RNAcentral describes it as "bacterial SSU rRNA". It matches the Rfam family "Bacterial small subunit ribosomal RNA", at positions 112 to 835 of the family's 1533-position model. The record is from RNAcentral.